This 252-nucleotide ribosomal RNA is filed under the name uncultured bacterium. RNAcentral describes it as "partial 16S ribosomal RNA". It matches the Rfam family "Bacterial small subunit ribosomal RNA", at positions 524 to 776 of the family's 1533-position model. The record is from RNAcentral.
GACAGAGGGUGCAAACGUUGCUCGGAAUCACUGGGCGUAAAGGGCGUGUAGGCGGGUAGGCAAGUCGGGCGUGAAAUCCCUGAGCUCAACUCAGGAACUGCACUCGAAACUGCUUAUCUUGAGUGCCGGAGAGGAAAGCGGAAUACCUGGUGUAGAGGUGAAAUUCGUAGAUAUCAGGUGAACACCAGUGGCGAAGGCGGCUUUCUGGACGGUAACUGACGCUGAGACGCGAAAGCGUGGGGAGCAAACAGG